CAGCCGCCGCGGUAAUACGGAGGGUGCAAGCGUUAAUCGGAAUUACUGGGCGUAAAGCGCACGCAGGCGGGCUGAUAAGUCAGGGGUGAAAUCCUGGAGCUCAACUCCAGAACUGCCUUUGAUACUGAGAGCCUUGAGUUCGGGAGAGGUGAGUGGAACUGCGAGUGUAGAGGUGAAAUUCGUAGAUAUUCGCAAGAACACCAGUGGCGAAGGCGGCUCACUGGCCCGAUACUGACGCUGAGGUGCGAAAGCGUGGGGAGCAAACAGGAUUAGAUACCCCUGUAGUCCCUGUCUCUUAUAC
RNAcentral lists this ribosomal RNA (301 nucleotides) under uncultured bacterium. RNAcentral describes it as "partial 16S ribosomal RNA". It matches the Rfam family "Bacterial small subunit ribosomal RNA", at positions 509 to 807 of the family's 1533-position model. The record is from RNAcentral.